GGAUCUUUAGCUCAGUUGGCUAGAGCGCGCGAUUCACAUUCGCGAGGUCAUUGGUUCGAGUCCAAUAAGAUCCACCA
This 77-nucleotide transfer RNA is filed under the name Candidatus Nomurabacteria bacterium. RNAcentral's name for it is "tRNA-Val". It matches the Rfam family "tRNA". Rfam says of the family: Transfer RNA (tRNA) molecules are approximately 80 nucleotides in length. Their secondary structure includes four short double-helical elements and three loops (D, anti-codon, and T loops). Lineage: Bacteria; Candidatus Nomuraibacteriota. The record is from RNAcentral.